UAUCAGGUAUAUAAACAAAAAUUUCUCAUUUUAGGGCAUUUGUGCCUCUCGUUUCUCUCUCUUCUCCCGCAUGUAUGUGAGAGGCGAUUUGGGGUGAUUCACUUCAACCCUUGAUAUACAAACAUUGUGCGAGCUGUUCUUCGAGAUUUUGUAGAUCCAACAUCAGUUGUGGCUUUUGUACCUCUCUGUUGUCUGAUUUCUCUCUAUUUUUGCGCAUCUCUCUGACGCGAUUUUGGGGUUUCAACUUCAACCCUUCAAUUCAGUUGUUGUGCGAGUUGUUCCUCGAGAGUUUUUAGCUGUAAAAUCAGUUGUGGCUCUCGUACCUCUCUGUUGUCUCAUUUCUCUCUGUUUUCACGCAUCUAUCUAAUGCGAUUUUGGGGUUUCAACUUCAACCCUUCAGUUCAGUCGUUGUGCGAGGUAGUUCGACUAUUUUGUGCAAACAAGUCUUUGAAGUCGCUGCAGGUAACGCCACUACCAAACCCUAACCCUAAUUAGAACUCUAUUUAUUUGCACAGAAGUGUGUAUUGUCGAUUCUUAGAUCUAUAUGGGAUUUUUUUUUUUUUAAUUAUGUUACUCGUAUUUCAUUUACAGAAGUGUAUGCAUUGUCGAUUCUCAGAAAAAUUAGUUUAAUUAAUUUUUGCUUUCAAAGAUGUGAAUAUCAGAAAUAAGAAAAAAUUUUAAAGUACGAUUGACAGUUUAAUAUAUACACACUAUCCGAACCUUUAAUUUGAAGAGUUUGAACCUUUUUACAUAUAUACGCAUUGUUCGAACCUAUUGUUUACAUGGUUUGGCUUCAAUUCAUGACUUCCAUUUGUUGGUACAUAACAUAAAUUGGUUUAAAUGGACGAAGAAGUACAAAAACCAAGAAACAAACUUCAAUUCUCAAACCAACCAACCACUCAUAUUUCUUACUAUUUUCUGUACUCUUUUAUGUUCUUGCAUAUCUACUGCAUUUAUUUUUGGUAAAAAACAUCUAAAGUCUUAAAAUUAAGUUUAUUUACUACAACUUUCUUCUUUUCUUGUCUUCUACAUACCUAUAGGAGAAUAAAAAUAAUAAUAACAAAAUCUUUAAAUAAGAAAUCAAAUUUAAUAACAGAUUUUAGAGUAGAUUUAAAAACUCAAUAUGAAUGGAAUAAAUGGAGUUCAUACAAUUUAAAGAGUUUGAACCUUUAAUUUUACAUACAUACACACUGUCCGAACCUUAAUUUUAAGAGUUUGAACCUUUAAUUUUACAUAUAUGCACACUGUCCAAACCUUUUUAUAUAUGUACAGGAGAAUUAAUUAUGCUGAAUUAUACUCUAUGGCUGCAGUAGUAUGCUGAAUUUCUCUAAUUUCAUUUAAUUUAAGACAAUGUUAUUAUAAUGUAAUAGUGUACCAAAAAUCUUUAAUUUUGGAAGAAAUUAGAAUUAUAUAAACAAUUUACUAAACUGUUAAAUUUACUUAAUAAUAAUCAGAUGGACAUGAACAAUGACAAUGUUAAGCAAUACCCAUCAAGACAUAUUCAUUCUCUUGAUGGUGAGAAUGGUGACGAUGUUGUAGUUAUUGAACAGGCCGAUACCACUGUUUGGUGUGAUGCUCAUCAAGAGAAAUUCAUGCUCUUGAUGGAGGAAGAGGUUGGAAAAGGAAAUCGUAUAAGCACAAGUUUUAAUCCAACUGGAUGGACACAUAUUGUGGACGCAAUGUUGGUAGAAACUGGGAAGAAGUGCACGAAGGACUAAUGUAGACAAAAAUUCAACACAAUCAGAGCACUGUACAAAUAUUGCAAACAAAAAGUUAGUAAUUCGUGAUUUAGUAUUAAAAGGGUUUGAUGAAAAUAAUUGUAAGCUAAUAACAUGUAGGUUCUCAAGUAUGACAAAAAAAUAAAAAAACAGGGGUGUAAGAAUUAUGAGUAGAUGGUAAGGAUUUUUGGGGAUACACAUGCUAUUGGUCAGCAUGUUCAUCCUUCUACAAAAACACCCAAACCUCACCAAGUGCCAACAAUGUGUCAAGUGGCAACACAUGAAGCUGCAAUUCAUAACAUUGAGGGCAAUGCGUACAUGACUAAUGUAGAAUGACCUAAUAUAGAAGAGCUUAUUGACCUCAGUCCUACUCCCAAACCUGUAGCUAAGAAACCUAAAAAAGAAAGUUUUUCCUCCACAAUGUCUCAAGUAAUGGCAUGUUUGACUGAUAUCGGGAACGCGAAAGCUGAUAAAAUUGCCAAAGCCAUAGCAAAAUCAUCUUCUAGUUGUCAACCAUCUCGUGUUAAAGAAAUGCCUGAAGUUGAAUCUCCCAGUAAAAAAGAAAAAGAAAAAGAAAAAGAAAAAGAAAUUGAUCCCCAACUUGAGGAGUGCCUUAGGAUCGUCAACACAUUAGUGGGGAUUGAUGAUACCCAUUAUGCUAAGAUCAUAAAUAUGUUUGGUGAGGACAAGGUGUGGAGGGACAUAUUUCUUCACAUUCCUGAUGAAAGGGAGGUUGGGUGGGUGACGAAUUAGCCUCUGUGAUAUAUUCGCUAUCUUACUUUUAUGUGCUUUUGGAUGACUAUUUUCUAACUCUUUUUACUUUAUUGUUGGAUGACUAUAUUUAAUUUUCUUUAUCUACUACUUUUACAUUAUUGUUGGAUGACUGUAUUUAAUUUUCUUUAUCUACUGCCUUUACGUUAUUGCUGGAUAAUUGUAUGAUUUGGUAUGUCUUUUAUCCUUUUUUUAUUAUUGCAGAAUAACUGUAUUAUUUGCUAUAUAUUUGUCCAUUUUCCUUAUAUCAUUAUGUUGUUUAAUUUUUAUUACAAUAACUUCUUCUGUUUAUUCUUAAAUAGGAUAAUAGAUAUGGAUAUAAGGACAAUAUUAACCAUGUAUGAUGAUGAUGAGGAGGAGGAAAUUUUUGUAUUGAUCACAGCUGUAUAUGAGUACUAUCAUAAACAUUUUGAUAAGCAACGUUGUAAGGAUUCCAUGUUAUAAGGGGAAGAUUACGUAUUCGAGAUUUUAAAUGGAUAUGAAGAUAGGUGUUAUGAAAAUUUUCGGAUGUACUCCAAUACCUUUAGGGCUUUGUGUCGUGAGUUGAAAUUGUUACGAUUGAAAGAUUCUACAUUUGUAACAGUAGAAGAACAAGUUGCAAUUUUCUUACUUACCGUGUCUCACAAUGAAAGGAAUCGUGUCGUUGCUGAAAGAUUCCAACACUCUACAUCCACAAUUUCAUAUUACUUUCAUGCUGUCUUAAAGUUAAUUUGUGAGUUAGGGAUUAAGAUUAUUGUUCCCCCGGAUUUGAAUGAAAUUCCUAAACAGAUAAAGAACAAUAAAAAGUUUUACUCAUACUUUAAGAAUUGUGUAGGAGCCACAGAUGGUACUCAUAUCCAUGUUGUAGUGCCAGUUAACCAACAAAUACCCUUUUGUGGUAGAAAGGGUGAUACGACCCAAAAUGUCAUGGCUGUAUGUUCUUUUGAUAUGAAAUUCAUAUACAUUCUAGUAGGGUGGGAAGGGUAUGCUAAUGAUUCGAAAAUUUUAAAUGAGUGCACUCAGAAUAAGGAUUUGAAUUUUCCAUCACCACCCGAAGGUAAGAGAAUUACCUUUCCAUAUUUAUAUUUAACAUUAAAAAUACGUUAAUUUUAAUACUUAACAUGACAGGUAAGUAUUAUUUGGUGGAUUUUGGGUAUGCCAAUAAAUCGGGAUUUUUGGCCCCUUUCUGGGGUCAACAUUACCACAUGCAGGAAUAUCGUAGACAUACUAGAGGACUACGUGGUAGAGAAAAGGUGUACAAUUUUAGGCAUUUGUCAUUGAGGAAUAUCAUAAAGCGAUGUUUUGGGUGGUAAAGAUGAGAUUCCCUAUAUUGAAGCAAAUGCCCCCUUAUCACUUUGACACUCAAGUUUUUAUUGUCAUUGCUUGUUGUACAUUGCAUAAUUUCAUAAGAUCCCAAGGUGAAUCUGAUGAAAUUUUUUAUUCUGAAACCCCUGAUCUUCUACUUCACAAAAUGAACCUAAUGUGGAUGACAUUGUUGGGAUCGUCAGUGCUAUUAAUACACAGAUGCGACAGAUGGAUAUUUAUCGUGAUUGUAUUGCGAACCUAAUUUGGGAGCACUAUAAUCACUAAUUAUAAUAGUGUGUAGGAUUUUAACUUACAUGCAUAGAAUAUGGAUAACUUUAAUAACUAAUUAUAGUAAAUAAACUUUAUGGAUAACUAUAAUAAUUAAUAUUAGGACAUCAAAUAUUAAAUGCUUUAGUACUUGUAGGCGCACUUAUGUAUAGGCUUGAAGGUGAGUGACCACAAUGUGCAUGUGGUAGAGGUCCCAUGCAUCUCUAUAGGGCUGGAACUCCAAAAAAUUAUGGUCGACAAUUCUGUAAGUGUCCAGCUCGGGAGGUAUGACUUUAAUCUUUUAGGUGUUAUUUCUGUUACUGUUUCCUAAUUGUAUAAUUUAUAUUUGUUGUACUCACAUAUGAAUGCAUUUAUAUGGGUGGAUGAGUUGCACCAAGGUGCACAAGUUGAAGAACAGGUUCAAUCUGACUUGGACAAAGUCAUUGUAAUGAUUCAAAAUGAACAAUGUAGACAGAAGUACAUGCUCUUCCUAGGUUGUGGAUGUCUUACUAUCACAAUCAUGUUUAUUAUGAUUGUCUUCUUCUUACUCAUUAUCAUUGUUAUUGAAAGAUGAAGUUAGAUAAACUUCUAUCUUGUGUAAUAUAUGACAUGUAAUAGGUAUUUAGUUAAUUUCCUGUGUUUCAUUUGGUAUGUAAUAUAUACUUAAUUUUCUGUAUUUGGCUGAGCUUGCUGCUGAGAACUACAAAUGCUAUAUUUUCAACUACGUAUUACUUGUUGUUGUGUUCUCUUCUAUGUCAUUUUGGGAGUGAGCUUAAGGGCAUUUAUAAAAUUUGCUACUGAGCCUGAAGAAAUGUUCUUCAUGUGUUUGGUUAUGAAUGAGGUCAUUUACACUCAAAUUUGCAACUUAGCCUGAAAAAAUGUUAGCUAUAUCUUCCUUACUACUUCUUGCUUCAUUCCUAUCAUGUGUUAAUUUCUUUUUCUCUAAUCUUCUUCAUGUGUUUGGUUGUGCAUGAGGUUAUUUACACUCAAAUUUGCAACUUAGCUUGAAAAAAGGUUAGCUAUAUCUUCCUUACUACUUCUUGCUUCAUUCCUAUCAUGUGUUAUUUUCUUUUUCUCUAAUCUUCUUCAUGUGUUUGGUUGUGCAUGGGGUUAUUCACACUCAAAUUUGCAACUUAGCCUGAAAAAAAGUUAGCUAUGUCUUCCUUACUACUUCUUGCUUCAUUCCUACCAUGUGUUAUUUUCUUUUUCUCUAAUCUUCUUCAUUUUUUUGGUUUUACAUGUAUUUGGUUGCUGUUCUGUACUGUAACUUGGGAUUGGAUUGAGCUUGAUGUCAUUUACACUCAAAAUUUACAACUGAGCCUGAAAAAAGGUAGCUGUAUUGGAUUGGCUUUGUUUUCCCCUCCAAUUUGGAUGAACUCAGGAUUAACUCAGAGAUGUUGUUUUGGUUCAAUUUGGACAAUUCUGGAACUUUGGCCAAGUAUUGAAUGUGUAACAAAUAUUGUCUUUAACAAUUCUUUUAUUCUUUUUAAUUUACAUUCUUCCCCUUAUUUUCCUUCAAAACUUUCUUCCUAAUUUAGCUGAAUAUCUAGGGAAUAAUGUGGAUUUCAUAAUUCUUAGAUAAGUUGGGAUGAUUAAAAAAAAUCACAGAUGAAAUGUAAUGGCUUCAGCUCGUGCUGAUUUGAAUAUGGUCCCCUCUCAUGAUAGAGUUUGUGCAUUGAAUGAGGGUUUGAUGUUCCUGCACUUUAUUUAUUUAUUUUUUUUGGGUUGGAAUAGGUUGAUUUUGACCUCUUAUUUUUUAAAUCAUAAGAAUUAAUUGAUUACUUUGUGUUACUUUCUUUUGACAGAGUGGGUAGAAAUGUAGCUACUGGGAUUUCAACCAAACACAAAAGCUUUGAAUUUUUUUUCCCUUCAAAUGAGCUGUUGAAAUUUUGUGUCAAACAAUUCACUUUCUCAGUCUUUGCACUCAAUGCAUCAUGUAUAUUUCUUUUCAAUUGGGAAAAAACUGGAAGCGGCAAUGGGUCUGCUAUUUUGAAGGAAUGGGACAAAUAUCUGCCUCUCUUUUGGCAGCUGGUUCCGCCUAAUGAAGAAGACACCCCCGAGACUUGUACUGAGUUUGAGAAAUUGUAUAGUGAUGAUGUACAGAAAUUGUAAAUUGUAGGAAGUUAUUUUCUUUGAAGACCUUGACAGAGCUACUAGUUGUGUAUUACUAUUUUGUUACUUAUGAAAUAACAGUUCCAUUUUUGUCCA
Cornus florida is the source of this 6248-nucleotide long non-coding RNA. RefSeq lists it as uncharacterized. The record is from RefSeq and is a predicted model, not a curated record. The transcript is spliced from 2 exons. Lineage: Eukaryota; Viridiplantae; Streptophyta; Magnoliopsida; Cornales; Cornaceae.